UUCAUUUAUUGGUUGUCAUCUUAUUUGGGAAUGGUUCCUCCUGUUCAGCCAAGAUAUUUCACUUCACUUGCGGAUACUACGGUUGUCCAAUCGAAAUCGUUCUUUGUUGGUGCUAUUUUGAUGUUGCAGAUUGCAAUGGCAAAAUAGCUCUUUUCUUUCAACAUGACUUCCUGGUUGUUGGAACUGGAUAUGUAUUGGUUCAUGCCCUGUCAAUUGUUUGUCCUGAUAAUGCUAGAUACCUUUACCUUA
Long non-coding RNA from Panicum hallii, 249 nucleotides. RefSeq lists it as uncharacterized. The transcript is spliced from 2 exons. Lineage: Eukaryota; Viridiplantae; Streptophyta; Magnoliopsida; Poales; Poaceae. The record is from RefSeq and is a predicted model, not a curated record.